GGGCGGGUGAGUAACACGUGAGCAACCUGCCUUUGAGAGGGGAAUAACGGCUGGAAACGUUCGCUAAUACCGCAUAAUGUACGGAUGGGACAUCCUGUCUGUACCAAAGAUUUAUCGCUCGAAGAUGGGCUCGCGUCCGAUUAGGUAGUUGGUGAGGUAACGGCCCACCAAGCCGACGAUCGGUAGCCGGACUGAGAGGUUGAACGGCCACAUUGGGACUGAGACACGGCCCAGACUCCUACGGGAGGCAGCAGUGGGGGAUAUUGCACAAUGGGGGAAACCCUGAUGCAGCGACGCCGCGUGUGGGAAGACGGUCUUCUGGAUUGUAAACCACUGUCCCCAGGGACGAAAAUGACGGUACCUGGGGAGGAAGCUCCGGCUAACUACGUGCCAGCAGCCGCGGUAAUACGUAGGGAGCAAGCGUUGUCCGGAAUUACUGGGUGUAAAGGGAGCGUAGGCGGGGAUGCAAGUUGGGUGUCAAAACUACCGGCUCAACCGAUAGUCGCACUCAAAACUGCAGCUCUUGAGUGAAGUAGAGGCAGGCGGAAUUCCUAGUGUAGCGGUGAAAUGCGUAGAUAUUAGGAGGAACACCAGUGGCGAAGGCGGCCUGCUGGGCUUUUACUGACGCUGAGGCUCGAAAGUGUGGGGAGCAAACAGGAUUAGAUACCCUGGUAGUCCACACCGUAAACGAUGAUUACUA
RNAcentral lists this ribosomal RNA (700 nucleotides) under uncultured bacterium. RNAcentral describes it as "bacterial SSU rRNA". It matches the Rfam family "Bacterial small subunit ribosomal RNA", at positions 100 to 818 of the family's 1533-position model. The record is from RNAcentral.